UGGGGAAUUUUGGACAAUGGGCGAAAGCCUGAUCCAGCAAUGCCGCGUGUGUGAAGAAGGCCUUCGGGUUGUAAAGCACUUUUGUCCGGAAAGAAAUCCUUGGCUCUAAUACAGUCGGGGGAUGACGGUACCGGAAGAAUAAGCACCGGCUAACUACGUGCCAGCAGCCGCGGUAAUACGUAGGGUGCAAGCGUUAAUCGGAAUUACUGGGCGUAAAGCGUGCGCAGGCGGUUUGCUAAGACCGAUGUGAAAUCCCCGGGCUCAACCUGGGAACUGCAUUGGUGACUGGCAGGCUAGAGUAUGGCAGAGGGGGGUAGAAUUCCACGUGUAGCAGUGAAAUGCGUAGAGAUGUGGAGGAAUACCGAUGGCGAAGGCAGCCCCCUGGGCCAAUACUGACGCUCAUGCACGAAAGCGUGGGGAGCAAACAGGAUUAGAUACCCUGGUAGUCCACGCCCUAAAACGAUGUCAACUAGUUGUUGGGGGAUUCAUUUUCCUUAGUAACGUAGCUAACGCGUGAAGUUGACCGCCUGGGGAGUACGGUCGCAAGAUUAAAACUCAAAUGAAUUGACGGGGUCAUAGCUGUUUCCU
This 588-nucleotide ribosomal RNA is filed under the name uncultured bacterium. Its description in RNAcentral is "partial 16S ribosomal RNA". It matches the Rfam family "Bacterial small subunit ribosomal RNA", at positions 355 to 1375 of the family's 1533-position model. The record is from RNAcentral.